Camelina sativa (false flax) is the source of this 824-nucleotide long non-coding RNA. RefSeq lists it as uncharacterized. NCBI's taxonomy places the organism in Eukaryota, Viridiplantae, Streptophyta, Magnoliopsida, Brassicales, Brassicaceae. The record is from RefSeq and is a predicted model, not a curated record.
GAUCAUCAUAUCAGCACAGUUUCUUUCUUGCUGAAACGUGCAAGUACUUAUAUCUCCUCUUCGAUGAUUCAUUUGUGGCCAAAAGGAAUUAUAUACUUACAACCGAGGGCCACCCUAUCCAGGUUGUGAGCUCCUGGCAUGAAAAAGUACCAAAAAGUUAUUUCUCAGGCAACUGGACGCUUUCAAAGAGAGGGGCAUGGGAAAGUGGAGCUAGCGCAUUGCCACUGCAAGUAUGUCCAUCGAUAGCUCUCAACUCUAGACGUCCUGAGCAACACAGAGAGAGUGCUUGCCAUGUCCCUGACGAGAAAAUCAAUCAUAGGUGUUGGAGCAACAAAGAGUGUGGAGUUGAUGCCACUACUUGUAGACAAAGAUCCUGCAGCGGAGUUGGAUACUGCGGCUUAUGGAAUCCCUUAUAACUUUUGACACAAAACAGGGCGUUUUAGAGGUUUAGGAAAGGAAAGGAAAGAGAAGAGUUGGUUUGGUUGACAGUAAAAUGAAUAGUUGUUGCAUGAGGCUGUUGUAUCUUUUCUUUGAGUCAUCAGUCUUGACAUGGAUAUAUAUAUAUAUACUACGGGAGGAUUAACCUCAAUGAAAGGAAUAUUAAUGUUUUUCUUCAAGUAUAGCUUUAUGAAUUGGUAACUUUUAGGACCUUUACAAGUUAACAACAUAAAAGCUUGCAAUCACUUUAAUUCACCACAGGUCGUGCAAAACGAAAACAAUCUCUUGAUGCAGAUGUUGACCUGAAGUGAUGGUUGUGAAAUUUGGAACAUAAAGUCAAAGAGAUUUAAACACCACCGCAAUAUGUCAUAGAUUAUACAUCAAAA